Long non-coding RNA from Nerophis ophidion (straightnose pipefish), 2144 nucleotides. RefSeq lists it as uncharacterized. The record is from RefSeq and is a predicted model, not a curated record. NCBI's taxonomy places the organism in Eukaryota, Metazoa, Chordata, Actinopteri, Syngnathiformes, Syngnathidae. The transcript has 5 exons.
CAAUCAGCCCGCUCCUAUUUGUACCCCCUUUGUCUUCCAGUCAGUGCUGGAUCAUUGUCGUUGCCACAUGUCGCGUUGAUGUCAUUUUCUACUUGUCAUUCCUACUGGUCGUGUGAAUGCAGCGUAGCGCGUCCGCGCGUGUGCCGUCUGACAGAAGAAUGACAAGAUGUUAUGAGCCGUGAGUCCUGUGGAAGAUGCAUCCAGCGAGGAGAGCGCCUCAAUUAUUUGGGUUUCUGAGGGAAAAUAGAUGAGUGCAGAGACCUCAGACCACAGCACGAAACGACGUCAGGCCCAUUAAAGAAAUGCCAGAAGGGCCCUCACCUUUUGUGUAACGACCUGGUCGCAUCGUGAUGCGGAUUUGUUCUCCCAGGGAUGCAGACGGGCUUCGGACACAACGUGCAGUCCCCCUCUCUUCAUGGUCUCCGGCGCUGCCAAAAAAGGAACAGGUGAUUAGAUAACUCUUUCCGGCUGAGGUAUCCACUCAACUGUUGGCUGCUCGAUGGCCGGCCCCUGCACAUACCCCACUUGCAGGGAACACGUGGACCACGCCCCUCUCCACAUUCAUCUUGAAUAAAAAUGUAGCAUUGAAAAUUGCAUUAGAAUUAAUAAACUCUAAUAAAUCAAUACAUAUACCAAUAAUCUAGGCUAGACCAGUGGUCCCCAACCUUUUUGUAUCCGCGGACCGGUCAACGCUUAAUAAUUUGUCCCGCGGCCCGGGUGGGGGGAGUCCUUUUUUUUUUUUUCUUUUUUUUUUCUUUGUCAUGAAAAAGGGACGUUUUUGUCAUGAAAAAGGGAGUUUUUUGUGGUCAGUGCAAUAAUUGUAAGUGUAUAUUGUGUUUUUUAUGUUGAUUUAAUAUUUAAAAAAAAUAUUAUUAUUAUUGUUUUUUUUUUUUUAUAAAUAAAAAUUAAUAAGAAAUUAUUCUGCGGCCCGGUGGUUGGGGACCACCGGGCUAGACUACUGCAACGCACUUCUUGUCGGGAUCCCCAGCAAGAAGAUCCAGAAGCUGCAGUACUUACAGAAUUACUUUCCUCAGUUCCCAAACGUUUAUUGAGUGUUGUUAGAAGCAAUGGUGAUAAAACACAGUGGUGAACAUACCCUUUCCCAACUACUUUGGCACGUGUUGCAGCAAUGAAAUUCUAAGUUAAUUAUUAUAUGCAUAAAACAAGUAAAGUUUAGGAGUUUGAACAUCAAAUAUGUUGUCUUUGUAGUGCAUUCAACUGAAUAUGGGUUGAAAAUGAUUUGCAAAUCAUUGUAUUCCGUUUAUAUUUACAUCUAACACAAUUUCCCAACUCAUAUGGAAACGGGGUUUGUACUAUUCAUGUUUAAAUAACUUUUACUGCAAAUUAAUAUGGGCUCCAAAUAUUGGUUAUGGUAAAUAAUUCCACUUUCAAAGCUUCAACAAUUAGUUUCCUCACUUCCCAAACGUUUAUUGAGUGUUGUUAAAAGAAAAGAUGAUGCAAAACAGUGGUGAACAUGCCCUUUCCCAACUACUUUGUCAUGUGUGGCAGCCAUGAAAUUCUAUGUUAAUUAUUAUUUGCAAAAUGAGUUUGAACAUCAAAUAUCUUGUCUUUGUAGUGCAUUCAACUGAAUAUGGGAUGAAAAAGAUUUCCAAAUGAUUUUAUUCUGUUUAUAUUUACAUCUAACACAAUUUCCCAACUCGUAUGGAAACGGGGUUUGUACUAUUCAUGUUUAAAUAACUUUUACUGCAAAUUAAUAUGGGCUCCAAAUAUUGGUUAUGGUAAAUAAUUCCACUUUCAAAGCUUCAACAAUUAGUUUCCUCACUUCCCAAACGUUUAUUGAGUGUUGUUAAAAGAAAAGAUGAUGUAACACAGUGGUGAACAUGCCCUUUCCCAACUACUUUGUCAUGUGUUGCAGCCAUGAAAUUCUAUGUUAAUUAUUAUUUGCAAAAUAAAAUAAAUGAUAAAUGGGUUGUACUUGUAUAGCGCUUUUCUACCUUCAAGGUACUCAAAGCGCUUUGACACUACUUCCACAUUUACCCAUUCACACACACAUUCACACACUGAUGGAGGGAGCUGCCAUGCAAGGCGCCAACCAGCACCCAUCAGGAGCAAGGGUGAAGUGUCUUGCUCAGGACACAACGGACGUGACGAGGUUGGUACUAGGUGGGAUUUGAACCAAUGAC